Molecule: ribosomal RNA, 485 nt
Filed under: uncultured bacterium
Lineage: Bacteria
Description: bacterial SSU rRNA
Rfam family: Bacterial small subunit ribosomal RNA
Source: RNAcentral
UGGGCCGGCGUCGACCUAACACAUGCAAGUCGAACGGAGUUUAUUUUAGGUAAAGUUCCUUCGGGGACUGGAAUCUAUAACUUAGUGGCGGACGGGUGAGUAACGCGUGAGCAAUCUGCCUUUUGGGAGGGGGAUAACAGUCGGAAACGGCUGCUAAUACCGCAUAAUACGUUUGGGAGGCAUCUCUUAAACGUCAAAGAUUUUUAUCGCCUUUUAGAUGAGCUCGCGUCUGAUUAGCUGGUUGGCGGGGUAAUGGCCCACCAAGGCGACGAUCAGUAGCCGGACUGAGAGGUUGAACGGCCACAUUGGGACUGAGACACGGCCCAGACUCCUACGGGAGGCAGCAGUGGGGAAUAUUGCGCAAUGGGGGCAACCCUGACGCAGCAACGCCGCGUGAUUGAAGAAGGCCUUCGGGUUGUAAAGAUCUUUAAUCAGGGACGAAAAAUGACGGUACCUGAAGAAUAAGCUCCGGCUAACUACGUGCC